Molecule: ribosomal RNA, 498 nt
Filed under: uncultured bacterium
Lineage: Bacteria
Description: partial 16S ribosomal RNA
Rfam family: Bacterial small subunit ribosomal RNA
Source: RNAcentral
AUGAACGCUGGCGGCGUGCCUAAUACAUGCAAGUCGAGCGAACAGACGAGAGUGCUUGCACUCUCUGACGUUAGCGGCGGACGGGUGAGUAACACGUGGGUAACCUACCUAUAAGACUGGGAUAACUUCGGGAAACCGGAGCUAAUACCGGAUAAUAUUUAGCUUCGCAUGAAGCAAUAGUGAAAGACGGUUCUGCUGUCACUUAUAGAUGGACCCGCGGUGUAUUAGCUAGUUGGUGAGGUAACGGCUCACCAAGGCAACGAUACAUAGCCGACCUGAGAGGGUGAUCGGCCACACUGGGACUGAGACACGGACCAGACUCCUACGGGAGGCAGCAGUAGGGAAUCUUCCGCAAUGGACGAAAGUCUGACGGAGCAAUGCCGCGUGAGUGAAGAAGGUUUUCGGAUCGUAAAACUCUGUUGUAAGGGAAGAACAAGUACGUUAGUAACUGAACGUACCUUGACGGUACCUGACCAGAAAGCCACGGCUAACUACGUG